CGGGGUGCAGCAGGCGCGAAAACUUUGCAAUAAGCGAAAGCUUGACAGGGCUAUCCCGAGUGCCAUCCGCUGAGGAAGGCUUUUACCCAGUCUAGAACGCUGGGGGAAUAAGGAGAGGGCAAGUCUGGUGUCAGCCGCCGCGGUAAUACCAGCUCUCCGAGUGGUGUGGAUGUUUAUUGGGCCUAAAGCAUCCGUAGCUGGCUAGGUUAGUCCCCUGUUAAAUCCACCGAAUUAAUCGUUGGAUUGCGGGGGAUACUGCUUGGCUAGGGGACGAGAGAGGCAGACGGUAUUUCCGGGGUAGGGGUGAAAUCCUAUAAUCCCGGGAAGACCACCAGUGGCGAAGGCUGUCUGCUAGAACGCGCCCGACGGUGAGGGACGAAAGCUGGGGGAGCGAACCGGAUUAGAUACCCGGGUAGUCCCAGCUGUAAACGAUGCAGACUAGGUGUUUGGACGGCCACGUGCCGUUCUAGUGCCGCAGGGAAGCUGUUAAGUCUGCCGCCUGGGGAGUACGAUCGCAAGAUUGAAACUUAAAGGAAUU
Molecule: ribosomal RNA, 538 nt
Filed under: uncultured archaeon
Lineage: Archaea
Description: bacterial SSU rRNA
Rfam family: Archaeal small subunit ribosomal RNA
Source: RNAcentral